UCCCUGGAGGACUAGUGGCUAGGCCACAGCACUCUCACUGCUGUGACCUGCGUUCGAUUCUCUGCCAGGGAA
This 72-nucleotide transfer RNA is filed under the name Pangasianodon gigas (Mekong giant catfish). RNAcentral describes it as "tRNA-Glu". It matches the Rfam family "tRNA". From Rfam's summary of the family: Transfer RNA (tRNA) molecules are approximately 80 nucleotides in length. Their secondary structure includes four short double-helical elements and three loops (D, anti-codon, and T loops). Lineage: Eukaryota; Metazoa; Chordata; Actinopteri; Siluriformes; Pangasiidae. The record is from RNAcentral.